GGAGGAAAAGAAACUAACAAGGAUUCCCCUAGUAACGGCGAGUGAAGCGGGAAGAGCUCAAAUUUAAAAUCUGGCAGGCUACGCUUGUCCGAAUUGUAAUCUCGAGAAGUGUUUUCCGCGUUGGCCUGUGUACAAGUCCCUUGGAACAGGGCGUCAUAGAGGGUGAGAAUCCCGUCCUUGACACAGAUACCCAAUGCUUUGUGAUACACUCUCAAUGAGUCGAGUUGUUUGGGAAUGCAGCUCAAAAUGGGUGGUAAAUUCCAUCUAAAGCUAAAUACUGGCGAGAGACCGAUAGCGAACAAGUACCGUGAGGGAAAGAUGAAAAGCACUUUGGAAAGAGAGUCAAACAGUACGUGAAAUUGUUGAAAGGGAAACGAUUGAAGUCAGUCGUGCCUGCCUAGUCUCAGCCUUUUGGUGUACUACUAGGCCGGCAGGUCAGCAUCAGUUUGGGAGGAUUAACAAGGGAGUUAGGAAUGUGGCAACCUCGGUUGUGUUAUAGCCUAGCUUCGCAUUGAUCUUGCUGGACUGAGGAACGCAGUGCGCCCGCAAGGGUUGGUCUUCGGACACAUUCGCACUUAGGAUGCUGGCAUAAUGGCUUUAAACGACCCGUCUUGAA
This 616-nucleotide ribosomal RNA is filed under the name Cystofilobasidium macerans. RNAcentral describes it as "eukaryotic LSU rRNA". It matches the Rfam family "Eukaryotic large subunit ribosomal RNA", at positions 52 to 658 of the family's 3401-position model. The record is from RNAcentral. Lineage: Eukaryota; Fungi; Basidiomycota; Tremellomycetes; Cystofilobasidiales; Cystofilobasidiaceae.